Molecule: ribosomal RNA, 440 nt
Filed under: uncultured bacterium
Lineage: Bacteria
Description: partial 16S ribosomal RNA
Rfam family: Bacterial small subunit ribosomal RNA
Source: RNAcentral
CCUACGGGUGGCAGCAGUGGGGAAUAUUGCUCAAUGGGCGAAACCCUGAUCCAGCGACGCCGCGUGAGUGAAGAAGUUACUCGGUAUGUAAAGCUCUAUCAGUAGGGAAGAAAAUGACGGUACCCGAGUAAGAAGCCCCGUGUAACUACGUGCCAGCUGCCGCGGUAACACGCAGGGGGCAAGCGUAAUCCGGAGUUACUGGGUGUAAAGGGAGCGUAGACGGCAGUGUCAGUCUGGAGUGAAAGGCGGGGGCUCAACCCCCGGACUGCUCUGGAAACUGUACGGCUGGAGUGCAGGAGAGGUAGGUGGAAUGCCUAGUGUAGCGGUGAAAUGCGUAGAUAUUAGGAGGAACACCAGUGGCGAAGGCGGCUUACUGGACUGUAACUGACGUUGAGGCUCGAAAGCGUGGGGAGCAAACAGGAUUAGAUACCCGAGUAGUC